GCGAUCAUACCAGCACUAAUGCACCGGAUCCCAUCAGAACUCCGAAGUUAAGCGUGCUUGGCGAGAGUAGUACUAAGAUGGGUGACCUCUUGGGAAGUCCUCGUGUUGCACCCC
RNAcentral lists this ribosomal RNA (114 nucleotides) under Spirodela intermedia. The record is from RNAcentral. Lineage: Eukaryota; Viridiplantae; Streptophyta; Magnoliopsida; Alismatales; Araceae.